Molecule: non-coding RNA, 478 nt
Organism: Cinara cedri
Lineage: Eukaryota; Metazoa; Arthropoda; Insecta; Hemiptera; Aphididae
Source: the annotation of a GenBank genome assembly
UUCUCUUUCCAUUGGUUAAAAAAAAAACAAAAAAAAUUAGUACCUGUAUCAAUCACAUUUUAUUAUAUUAACUAUACUAGCGAAUUAACAAUAUAUAUAAAAAAUAUACACUGAUAAUAAACAGUAUGUGACUUCUAAGAGAGCAUAGUUAUAGAAAUAGAUAAUACAUAAAGGAUGGGACUUUCAUAUAUGAAUCGUGUAUCAGGUAGCAUGCAAAAAGAACCUGAAAGAUACCACAUUUCUGGUUCAAACCAUCAUAAUAGUAUCAAAAUAAAAAGGUCUGAUAACAAUAAAUAUUUUUAUAAUUUCUUAUUGAUAUUUUUAUAUAAUAAGAUUUUAGUUUAAUAAUGUGUCAAUAUUACAAUAAUAAUAGUUAAUAAUUAUUACAUUUACUUAAUAGUAAAUCAUUUCAUACGUGUAGUAACAUGGUCUCUAACUUUAAAGUCAAACAAAAGUAUAAAAAACACAAUAUCCAAAU